RNAcentral lists this long non-coding RNA (1363 nucleotides) under Macaca mulatta (Rhesus monkey). RNAcentral describes it as "lncRNA (ENSMMUG00000050436.1)". The record is from RNAcentral. Lineage: Eukaryota; Metazoa; Chordata; Mammalia; Primates; Cercopithecidae.
GGCCACUUGACUUCGGACUUUUCAUCCUCCAGAAAUGUAAGAAAUAAAUUAUUUUUCUUUAUCAACUACCCAGAAUACUACCCAGUGGUAGUCUGUUAUAGCAACACAAAACAGACUGACACUCGCAGAAUUUCUACAAGAUCUUUUUAAUUUUGCUUCCAUUGCAAUUUCAUUUUGGCUUUUGACCCUUGCAUCUAGAAUAGGCUUGGCCUUGCUCCAGGGAACAUGCCAUCCUGGCCUGACAUACUUCACCUUCCCAACUUCUGUCUUCUUUGUCAACUACCCACUCCGAAGUAUCCCUGACUUGCCUCCCUUGUCUUUGUUUCUCCUAGUGUGUUUUGUUUUGCUUUUUGAUGCAUGGGCCAUGACAGAAAUCUACUGAGGUGAAGGGGAAUUGAGGAGAGACUCAUUGUUUUCAGCAAGAUGGGUAGUUAUUGAGGAGAAAUUAGAAAGCAUCAACUAACUGAAUGUGAUAGGAUCCACAUUCCCACCACACGAAAUGAGACAGAUUUUUAAAUAUGGCUAAGCAGUGUAAGUAUUCAGGCAAAGUCUGACAACUAAAUAUGUAGUGGGCUCUAAUUAGAUGCUUCUUCAUUUGUCUCUAGGAAAAGGACUGAAGAAAACAGACAGUGAGACUGAUCCAAAAACUCCCAUGUAUAUACAAACACAUGAAAAAUGUCACCAAAAUGUUAAUGGCAGUUACGUUACAGUUGCAUCAGGGAUGGGCUUUCAGUGCAUGACAUCUACAAGUGUACAAGAUGGUACUGGAUCCAGUGAGGAAGACAAAAAGUCUGGCAGGAAUGUGAGAGAGACUGGGAAGAAUUGGCUCAAUAUGAUGAUGGAGUUCAGAGAGCUAAAUGAAGUGCUGAGAAGUCACUGUUUUAAAUGGCUUAGCCGUGUGGAGGUGAGAAACCCCAAGGAUGUUCCAGUUAUCUUUUGUUGCAUUACAAACCAUCCUGCAAUUUAGUGGCAUAAAAUAACAAACAUUUUAUUGCACUCAUGAUUUGGGCAGUCAGGAACUUGGGUGCGGCACAGCAGAAAUGGCUGGCUUAUCUCUUCUCCAUGAUAUCUGGGUCCUCCACUAGCGUGGCCUGAAUGGUUGGAGAUGACUGAGAUAUCUUUACUGGGGCCAUAUGUCUGAAACCUCUUUUCUUCUUUUUGGGAUAUCUGAUGGGCCUAAGAAGUCUAAGUUUUCUCUUUCACUCAGGUAUAGUGCCUGGGCUGGGAUGGCUGGAAUGGUUGAGGGCUGGCCAGCCUCACUCUGUCUCUCUCUGUCUACAAAGGUGGUUUCAUGGUGGCCAUAGUUCUUACAUGGUAGGUGGUUUCCCCCAGAGUGCAAGAGAAUCCCAACAGACAGCAUGCC